Molecule: long non-coding RNA, 1812 nt
Filed under: Homo sapiens (human)
Lineage: Eukaryota; Metazoa; Chordata; Mammalia; Primates; Hominidae
Description: non-protein coding lnc-COA4-4:1
Source: RNAcentral
UGAGAGGUCCCAGAUACGUCUGCGGUUCCGGCUCCGCCACCCUCAGCUUCUCUUCCCCAGGUCUGGGAGCCGAGUGCGGAAGGAGGGAACGGCCCUAGCUUUGGGAAGCCAGAGGACACCCCUGGCUCCUGCCGACACCGCCCUCCUUCCCUUCCCAGCCGCGGGCCUCGCUCGGUGCUAGGCUACUCUGCCGGGAGGCGGCGGCGGCUGCCAGUCUGUGGAGAGUCCUGCUGCCCUCCAGCCGGGCUCCUCCACCGGGCCUUGCAGGGGCCGAGAGAGCUCGGUGCCCGCCCUUCCGCUCGCCUUUUUCGUCAGCUGGCUGGAGCAGCAUCGGUCCGGGAGGUCUCUAGGCUGAGGCGGCGGCCGCUCCUCUAGUUCCACAAUGUCCACGGGCGGAGACUUCGGGAAUCCGCUGAGGAAAUUCAAGCUGGUGUUCCUGGGGGAGCAAAGCGUUGGAAAGACAUCUUUGAUCACCAGAUUCAUGUAUGACAGUUUUGACAACACCUAUCAGGUAUUUUGUUUUUGCCAAUUUAUUUGUUGUCUAUUUUUUGUUACAAGUAAUAUUCAAGAUAUUUUUAAAAAAUUAUUUACUUGCAGUUGUGGAUGUAAAAGUACUUUCUAUAAUCUGUAAAAUGCUGUAUAAAUACAAUGUGUAAAUGAUUUUGUCCAGUCCUAGGAUAAACUUUUAUCAUUUGAUUUCUUUUGUCUCUUCCAAAGUCUGUUGAAAUAUAUCUCCAAUAUCAUCUAGGAUGGCAUUAGAAGUAAUGGUGGAUAUUCUCUAUAGAUUUUGUCCAAGCCUAGGAUUCUGUGACAUUUUUUAUCUACAUUUGAAAUUAAGAAUAAAUGAAUAAUGAAAUUAGAAAUCAUUAACAGAAGGAUAUUUGGCACAUUCACAAAUAUGUGAAAAUUAAAUAAUACACUCCUAAAUAAUUAAUGUCAAAGAUGAAAUCACAAGAGAAAUUAGAAAAUGCUUUGAGAUCAAUAAAAAAGAAAACACAGCACACCAAAACUUAUGGUAUACAACUAAAGCAGUGCUAUACAAAAAAGAAAAGAGAUACUAAAUAAAUAGCCUAACAUUCUACUUUAAGAAACUGGAAGAAAACUAAACCCAAAGCGACAGAAGGAAGAAGCUAUUUUAAAAUUUAGGUUUUAUCAUUAUUCCUGUAUGGUGAGGCCAAUAGAUCAGGAGAUGAUUGCCAUUGAAAAGAUAGUUUGUUAUACUCACAGAUCCCAAGAGAAGAGGGCAUGCCAUGCCAGAGGGGGCCACAUGGGGAAGCACUGGGUCAGUUAAAAGGCAGGUGGCUGGGGAAAUGUGGACAAAAGCCUUGAUUGUGGUUUUCAGGGAAGAGGCACACAAGACAGGGUAAGCAGGUUUAGGAUUAGCUAGUUCGGAUAAUUUCAGGGGUUCUGGGGUUGAGGGGCUGUUCCUGGUUGUCUAGUACCUGGCCCGGGUGAUUAGGGCAGUGUAGUAUUGGCCCUCAGUGUCAUAGAGGAGGUGCUGGGGUAUUGGCUUUGGAUUGGUUGGUUUGCCUAUGAAAGGAGUACUCAAAGGUGAGUUUACUAUCUCUAAUGAAAAAGCUAAUCCUGGCAGGGGCAGUCCCUCCAGUGUCAGCAAGGACCCUGAUGUCAAAACAUCAAAACUAUAGAAAGUAAAAAGACAUGCUUAAUACAGAAGUUAAUAAAGGUUAAAGCAGAAAUAUAUGAAAGAGAGAGCAGAAAAACAAUGGAGGAAAUCAAUGAAACCAAAAGCAGUUCUUUGAAAAGAUAAAAAAAUUGACUAACUUUAGCUAGACUGACCAAGAAAAAAAAGAA